This 247-nucleotide ribosomal RNA is filed under the name uncultured bacterium. RNAcentral's name for it is "partial 16S ribosomal RNA". It matches the Rfam family "Bacterial small subunit ribosomal RNA", at positions 523 to 769 of the family's 1533-position model. The record is from RNAcentral.
AUACGUAGGGGGCAAGCGUUAUCCGGAUUCAUUGGGCGUAAAGAGCGCGUAGGCGGAUUGUUAAGUCAGAUGUGAAAACCGGGGGCUCAACCCGCGGCCUGCAUCUGAAACUGGCAGUCUUGAGUCUGGUAGAGGAAAGUGGAAUUCCUGGUGUAGCGGUGAAAUGCGCAGAUAUCAGGAGGAACACCAGUGGCGAAGGCGGCUUUCUGGGCCACGACUGACGCUGAGGCGCGAAAGCUAGGGGAGC